RNAcentral lists this transfer RNA (31 nucleotides) under Sceloporus tristichus (plateau fence lizard). RNAcentral describes it as "partial tRNA-Phe". The record is from RNAcentral. Lineage: Eukaryota; Metazoa; Chordata; Lepidosauria; Squamata; Phrynosomatidae.
CGCGAUGGGCCAAUAAAAAUCCCCAAAAACA